RNAcentral lists this ribosomal RNA (259 nucleotides) under Acinetobacter baumannii. RNAcentral's name for it is "partial 23S ribosomal RNA". It matches the Rfam family "Bacterial large subunit ribosomal RNA", at positions 2064 to 2322 of the family's 2925-position model. Lineage: Bacteria; Pseudomonadati; Pseudomonadota; Gammaproteobacteria; Moraxellales; Moraxellaceae. The record is from RNAcentral.
GUGUACCCGCGGCUAGACGGAAAGACCCCGUGAACCUUUACUAUAGCUUGACACUGAACAUUGAGCCUUGAUGUGUAGGAUAGGUGGGAGGCUUUGAAGCGUGGACGCCAGUCUGCGUGGAGCCAACCUUGAAAUACCACCCUUUAAUGUUUGAUGUUCUAACGUUGGCCCCUGACCGGGGUUGCGGACAGUGUCUGGUGGGUAGUUUGACUGGGGCGGUCUCCUCCCAAAGCGUAACGGAGGAGCACGAAGGUUAGCU